GAUGAACGCUGGCGGCGUGCCUAAUACAUGCAAGUCGAGCGAACAGACGAGGAGCUUGCUCCUCUGACGUUAGCGGCGGACGGGUGAGUAACACGUGGAUAACCUACCUAUAAGACUGGGAUAACUUCGGGAAACCGGAGCUAAUACCGGAUAAUAUAUUGAACCGCUUGGUUCAAUAGUGAAAGACGGUUUUGCUGUCACUUAUAGAUGGAUCCGCGCCGCAUUAGCUAGUUGGUAAGGUAACGGCUUACCAAGGCGACGAUGCGUAGCCGACCUGAGAGGGUGAUCGGCCACACUGGAACUGAGACACGGUCCAGACUCCUACGGGAGGCAGCAGUAGGGAAUCUUCGGCAAUGGGCGAAAGCCUGACGGAGCAAUGCCGCGUGAGUGAUGAAGGUCUUCGGAUCGUAAAACUCUGUUAUUAGGGAAGAACAAAUGUGUAAGUAACUAUGCACGUCUUGACGGUACCUAAUGAGAAAGCCACGGCUAACUACGUG
Molecule: ribosomal RNA, 497 nt
Filed under: uncultured bacterium
Lineage: Bacteria
Description: partial 16S ribosomal RNA
Rfam family: Bacterial small subunit ribosomal RNA
Source: RNAcentral